This 466-nucleotide ribosomal RNA is filed under the name uncultured bacterium. Its description in RNAcentral is "partial 16S ribosomal RNA". It matches the Rfam family "Bacterial small subunit ribosomal RNA", at positions 28 to 507 of the family's 1533-position model. The record is from RNAcentral.
GAUGAACGCUGGCGGCGUGCUUAACACAUGCAAGUCGAACGAUGAAGCCCAGCUUGCUGGGUGGAUUAGUGGCGAACGGGUGAGUAACACGUGAGUAACCUGCCCUUAACUCUGGGAUAAGCCUGGGAAACUGGGUCUAAUACCGGAUAGGAGCGUCCACCGCAUGGUGGGUGUUGGAAAGAUUUAUCGGUUUUGGAUGGACUCGCGGCCUAUCAGCUUGUUGGUGAGGUAAUGGCUCACCAAGGCGACGACGGGUAGCCGGCCUGAGAGGGUGACCGGCCACACUGGGACUGAGAGACGGCCCAGACUCCUACGGGAGGCAGUAGUGGGGAAUAUUGCACAAUGGGCGCAAGCCUGAUGCAGCGACGCCGCGUGAGGGAUGACGGCCUUCGGGUUGUAAACCUCUUUCAGUAGGGAAGAAGCGAAAGUGACGGUACCUGCAGAAGAAGCACCGGCUAACUACGUG